GACGAACGCUGGCGGCGUGCCUAACACAUGCAAGUCGAGCGGGGUCCAACCAGUGGCAACACUGGGGAAGACCUAGCGGCGAACGGGUGAGUAACACGUGAGAAACCUACCCCGAAGACUGGGAUAACUCCGGGAAACCGGAGCUAAUACCGGAUGCCCUCAUCAGGUCGCAUGGCUAGAUGAGGAAAUGCGGUACUAUCUAGUACAGGCGCUUCGGGAGGGUCUCGCGGCCUAUCAGCUAGUUGGUGAGGUAACGGCUCACCAAGGCGUCGACGGGUAGCUGGUCUGAGAGGACGAUCAGCCACACUGGGACUGAGACACGGCCCAGACUCCUACGGGAGGCAGCAGUGGGGAAUCUUGCGCAAUGGGCGAAAGCCUGACGCAGCAACGCCGCGUGGGGGAUGACGGCUUUCGGGUUGUAAACCCCUUUUC
Molecule: ribosomal RNA, 432 nt
Filed under: uncultured bacterium
Lineage: Bacteria
Description: bacterial SSU rRNA
Rfam family: Bacterial small subunit ribosomal RNA
Source: RNAcentral